UGUUAUGGCAGCUGUGCGUCGGAGACCUUCGGGUCUGCCGGUAGCCUUAGGCCGGUUCGUCAACCUUCGCACAGCUGCUACCCAU
This 85-nucleotide non-coding RNA is filed under the name Pseudomonas abietaniphila. The record is from RNAcentral. Lineage: Bacteria; Pseudomonadati; Pseudomonadota; Gammaproteobacteria; Pseudomonadales; Pseudomonadaceae.